This 631-nucleotide long non-coding RNA is filed under the name Pan troglodytes (chimpanzee). RNAcentral describes it as "long non-coding RNA NONPTRT005505". Lineage: Eukaryota; Metazoa; Chordata; Mammalia; Primates; Hominidae. The record is from RNAcentral.
AAGGGCGAGGGGAUUGCGAGUCACCGAGUUUCCCGCGCGGCUUGAGAACGUGUUAGGAACUAGUACUUAUAUAAUCUCAAGUCCCUGAGGGGCCAGAGAUCCCACCAUGCAAAAUAGCAAACAGACCCAAGACUUGGGGAGAGGCGGUGAGUGCAUCAGAAAUGGAUGGGUACAUCUGAUUCCCACCACGCGGGGCUCAGCUUAGUUAGCAGGAGACCUUCAGAUUGAGAAAAAAUGCAAGUCUUUUUUUGGCCUCUAAUAUCUGGGAAGGAUGGAGGGAGCUCAGGAGACACAGAAAAGAUGGCGUAUGAAUCCUGUCCGGCCUGAACGAGGCUGGAGUUGUGCCUCUGGAUAGCUUCAAGCACUGAUCAGAGUGUCAGCCCCCGCUCCUUGAACAGAUGCUUUAGAGCCUCUUCCAGUUGCCGGUUUGUUCCCUGAAGCCCCUUCACCACCUGCGCUGCCCACUCGAAGUAUUCCUGGACUCGAUGUUCUGACCAUCCUGCAUAAGAGUCGACAGAAACUUGCUAGCGUGAUGUCAAGGAAAGCACUGCCUUUUCCCCACUUCCUGGCAAGCUUGGUUCAAGGCCAUGAGUUCCUGAUGGAAUGAGCUGUCCUGAAAACUUCCCCUUGG